This is a non-coding RNA of Lindgomyces ingoldianus, 81 nucleotides long. Lineage: Eukaryota; Fungi; Ascomycota; Dothideomycetes; Pleosporales; Lindgomycetaceae. The record is from the annotation of a RefSeq genome assembly.
GGCACUUUGGCGGAGUGGUUAUCGCGCAAGCCUGCUAAGCUUGUCUCUUAGGAGGCCAGAGUUCGAAUCUCUGAGGUGUCG